RNAcentral lists this ribosomal RNA (2924 nucleotides) under Staphylococcus aureus. RNAcentral describes it as "23S ribosomal RNA". It matches the Rfam family "Bacterial large subunit ribosomal RNA". The record is from RNAcentral. Lineage: Bacteria; Bacillati; Bacillota; Bacilli; Caryophanales; Staphylococcaceae.
GAUUAAGUUAUUAAGGGCGCACGGUGGAUGCCUUGGCACUAGAAGCCGAUGAAGGACGUUACUAACGACGAUAUGCUUUGGGGAGCUGUAAGUAAGCUUUGAUCCAGAGAUUUCCGAAUGGGGAAACCCAGCAUGAGUUAUGUCAUGUUAUCGAUAUGUGAAUACAUAGCAUAUCAGAAGGCACACCCGGAGAACUGAAACAUCUUAGUACCCGGAGGAAGAGAAAGAAAAUUCGAUUCCCUUAGUAGCGGCGAGCGAAACGGGAAGAGCCCAAACCAACAAGCUUGCUUGUUGGGGUUGUAGGACACUCUAUACGGAGUUACAAAGGACGACAUUAGACGAAUCAUCUGGAAAGAUGAAUCAAAGAAGGUAAUAAUCCUGUAGUCGAAAAUUUGUCUCUCUUGAGUGGAUCCUGAGUACGACGGAGCACGUGAAAUUCCGUCGGAAUCUGGGAGGACCAUCUCCUAAGGCUAAAUACUCUCUAGUGACCGAUAGUGAACCAGUACCGUGAGGGAAAGGUGAAAAGCACCCCGGAAGGGGAGUGAAAUAGAACCUGAAACCGUGUGCUUACAAGUAGUCAGAGCCCGUUAAUGGGUGAUGGCGUGCCUUUUGUAGAAUGAACCGGCGAGUUACGAUUUGAUGCAAGGUUAAGCAGUAAAUGUGGAGCCGUAGCGAAAGCGAGUCUGAAUAGGGCGUUUAGUAUUUGGUCGUAGACCCGAAACCAGGUGAUCUACCCUUGGUCAGGUUGAAGUUCAGGUAACACUGAAUGGAGGACCGAACCGACUUACGUUGAAAAGUGAGCGGAUGAACUGAGGGUAGCGGAGAAAUUCCAAUCGAACCUGGAGAUAGCUGGUUCUCUCCGAAAUAGCUUUAGGGCUAGCCUCAAGUGAUGAUUAUUGGAGGUAGAGCCACUGUUUGGACGAGGGGCCCCUCUCGGGUUACCGAAUUCAGACAAACUCCGAAUGCCAAUUAAUUUAACGUUGGGAGUCAGAACAUGGGUGAUAAGGUCCGUGUUCGAAAGGGAAACAGCCCAGACCACCAGCUAAGGUCCCCAAAUAUAUGUUAAGUGGAAAAGGAUGUGGCGUUGCCCAGACAACUAGGAUGUUGGCUUAGAAGCAGCCAUCAUUUAAAGAGUGCGUAAUAGCUCACUAGUCGAGUGACACUGCGCCGAAAAUGUACCGGGGCUAAACAUAUUACCGAAGCUGUGGAUUGUCCUUUGGACAAUGGUAGGAGAGCGUUCUAAGGGCGUUGAAGCAUGAUCGUAAGGACAUGUGGAGCGCUUAGAAGUGAGAAUGCCGGUGUGAGUAGCGAAAGACGGGUGAGAAUCCCGUCCACCGAUUGACUAAGGUUUCCAGAGAAGGCUCGUCCGCUCUGGGUUAGUCGGGUCCUAAGCUGAGGCCGACAGGCGUAGGCGAUGGAUAACAGGUUGAUAUUCCUGUACCACCUAUAAUCGUUUUAAUCGAUGGGGGGACGCAGUAGGAUAGGCGAAGCGUGCGAUUGGAUUGCACGUCUAAGCAGUAAGGCUGAGUAUUAGGCAAAUCCGGUACUCGUUAAGGCUGAGCUGUGAUGGGGAGAAGACAUUGAGUCUUCGAGUCGUUGAUUUCACACUGCCGAGAAAAGCCUCUAGAUAGAAAAUAGGUGCCCGUACCGCAAACCGACACAGGUAGUCAAGAUGAGAAUUCUAAGGUGAGCGAGCGAACUCUCGUUAAGGAACUCGGCAAAAUGACCCCGUAACUUCGGGAGAAGGGGUGCUCUUUAGGGUUAACGCCCAGAAGAGCCGCAGUGAAUAGGCCCAAGCGACUGUUUAUCAAAAACACAGGUCUCUGCUAAACCGUAAGGUGAUGUAUAGGGGCUGACGCCUGCCCGGUGCUGGAAGGUUAAGAGGAGUGGUUAGCUUCUGCGAAGCUACGAAUCGAAGCCCCAGUAAACGGCGGCCGUAACUAUAACGGUCCUAAGGUAGCGAAAUUCCUUGUCGGGUAAGUUCCGACCCGCACGAAAGGCGUAACGAUUUGGGCACUGUCUCAACGAGAGACUCGGUGAAAUCAUAGUACCUGUGAAGAUGCAGGUUACCCGCGACAGGACGGAAAGACCCCGUGGAGCUUUACUGUAGCCUGAUAUUGAAAUUCGGCACAGCUUGUACAGGAUAGGUAGGAGCCUUUGAAACGUGAGCGCUAGCUUACGUGGAGGCGCUGGUGGGAUACUACCCUAGCUGUGUUGGCUUUCUAACCCGCACCACUUAUCGUGGUGGGAGACAGUGUCAGGCGGGCAGUUUGACUGGGGCGGUCGCCUCCUAAAAGGUAACGGAGGCGCUCAAAGGUUCCCUCAGAAUGGUUGGAAAUCAUUCAUAGAGUGUAAAGGCAUAAGGGAGCUUGACUGCGAGACCUACAAGUCGAGCAGGGUCGAAAGACGGACUUAGUGAUCCGGUGGUUCCGCAUGGAAGGGCCAUCGCUCAACGGAUAAAAGCUACCCCGGGGAUAACAGGCUUAUCUCCCCCAAGAGUUCACAUCGACGGGGAGGUUUGGCACCUCGGAUGUCGGCUCAUCGCAUCCUGGGGCUGUAGUCGGUCCCAAGGGUUGGGCUGUUCGCCCAUUAAAGCGGUACGCGAGCUGGGUUCAGAACGUCGUGAGACAGUUCGGUCCCUAUCCGUCGUGGGCGUAGGAAAUUUGAGAGGAGCUGUCCUUAGUACGAGAGGACCGGGAUGGACAUACCUCUGGUGUACCAGUUGUCGUGCCAACGGCAUAGCUGGGUAGCUAUGUGUGGACGGGAUAAGUGCUGAAAGCAUCUAAGCAUGAAGCCCCCCUCAAGAUGAGAUUUCCCAACUUCGGUUAUAAGAUCCCUCAAAGAUGAUGAGGUUAAUAGGUUCGAGGUGGAAGCAUGGUGACAUGUGGAGCUGACGAAUACUAAUCGAUCGAAGACUUAAUCAA